This 466-nucleotide long non-coding RNA is filed under the name Manihot esculenta (cassava). RNAcentral's name for it is "long non-coding RNA (MESC_LNC012627)". The record is from RNAcentral. Lineage: Eukaryota; Viridiplantae; Streptophyta; Magnoliopsida; Malpighiales; Euphorbiaceae.
GUUAAGGGAGUGGGAUGAGCUCUAGAGCCCAGUGAGGAGGAACAAUAAAAAUAGUUCAUUCAUUACAUGCUCUCAUGAAAUGCAUCACAUCACAAACAUAUCAUCUCAAGGAUGAAUUUGUCACCAAUAACCCUCAACUACAUGUUAUAAUAAUGCCAACUGUGCCAAGGAGACUAUGUCAUCACCUGGUCUACACUUAUCUCUCUGAUAUCAUAACAUGACCAACUGUGCCAAGGAGACGAGGUCUCACCUGGUCUACACUUAACUCUGAUCUCACAGCCUAGCUGUCUCACUCAUAGUACCAGGAGCGACCUGGACUAUCUAGGGGCGACCUGGUAUGGCUCUCUCAUGCCAUAACUCUGUAUCUGCUCUCUGUCAAGGGCUAAGGAUCAUCCAACAUUCAUCCACAGGAACAACAACAUAUGCAAUGCAUCAUAUUCGUGAAUUCUAAUGCAACACAACCUAA